Molecule: ribosomal RNA, 426 nt
Filed under: uncultured bacterium
Lineage: Bacteria
Description: bacterial SSU rRNA
Rfam family: Bacterial small subunit ribosomal RNA
Source: RNAcentral
GUGAGGAAUAUUGCACAAUGGACGAAAGUCUGAUGCAGCGACGCCGCGUGGGCGACGAAGGCCUUCGGGUCGUAAAGCCCUUUUGGCAGGGACGAGUGAGGACGGUACCUGCAGAAUAAGUCUCGGCUAACUACGUGCCAGCAGCCGCGGUAAAACGUAGGAGGCGAGCGUUAUCCGGAUUCACUGGGCGUAAAGCGCGCGUAGGCGGUCGGGUAAGUCGAAUGUUAAAGCCCCUGGCUCAACUAGGGGAGCCGUUCGAUACUGCUCGGCUUGAGGGUGACAGGGGAGAGUGGAAUUCCCGGUGUAGCGGUGGAAUGCGUAGAGAUCGGGAGGAACACCAGUGGCGAAGGCGGCUCUCUGGGUCACUUCUGACGCUGAGUGCGCGACAGCGUGGGGAGCAAACGGGAUUAGAAACCCUAGUAGUCC